Long non-coding RNA from Puntigrus tetrazona (Sumatra barb), 469 nucleotides. RefSeq lists it as uncharacterized. The record is from RefSeq and is a predicted model, not a curated record. Lineage: Eukaryota; Metazoa; Chordata; Actinopteri; Cypriniformes; Cyprinidae. The transcript is spliced from 3 exons.
AUGCUCAUGCGCGAAACUUGAGCCAAGACUGGUUUGAAGAUCAGAAGCGCGGGAAAUCCGAAAGGACAAAAAUCGUUCGUCGGUUUUUCGUGGUCGUAGGAUUUAGUGCACCAGCGAUAUCGGUAUCCGGUAUGGAGUACAAAAAGCCUUGCCGCUUUUAUAGGAGCGAUAACGAGGCAGUGUUGAUUUCAGGGGUUUACCAAGCUUGACGUGCCCAGACAGCUUGUCUCAAAGUCUGGGGCCAGGCAGAUUGCAAGGACCUGUGCUUGAGUUAGCCUGGAGACAUCUCUGGAUUUCAGGAAAUUGAGUAAACACAAACGUCACCCAACGACCUGAAACACCUCCUGAAGCCACAAGAUAAUUGACCUGCCACUCUGACUGAAUUGUGUCCACUAUAGUUUUUUUCCUUUGACUCUGAAUACUAUGACGAGUGUUGACGAGUCCUCAGUAUUGAUGAUGUUGACCCAGG